RNAcentral lists this ribosomal RNA (440 nucleotides) under uncultured bacterium. RNAcentral's name for it is "partial 16S ribosomal RNA". It matches the Rfam family "Bacterial small subunit ribosomal RNA", at positions 338 to 795 of the family's 1533-position model. The record is from RNAcentral.
CCUACGGGAGGCAGCAGUGGGGGAUAUUGCACAAUGGGGGCAACCCUGAUGCAGCGACGCCGCGUGAGCGAUGGAGUACUUCGGUAUGUAAAGCUCUGUCAGCAGGGAAGAGAAUGACGGUACCUGACCAAGAAGCCCCGGCUAACUACGUGCCAGCAGCCGCGGUAAGACGUAGGGGGCGAGCGUUAUCCGGAUUCACUGGGUGUAAAGGGAGCGUAGACGGCCAUGCAAGCCAGGGGUGAAAGCCCGGGGCCCAACCCCGGGACUGCCCUUGGAACUGCAUGGCUGGAGUGCGGGAGGGGCAGGCGGAAUGCCUGGUGUAGCGGUGAAAUGCGUAGAUAUCAGGAGGAACACCGGCGGCGAAGGCGGCCUGCUGGACCGCGACUGACGUUGAGGCUCGAAAGCGUGGGGAGCGAACAGGAUUAGAUACCCGUGUAGUC